This 1300-nucleotide long non-coding RNA is filed under the name Gossypium barbadense (sea-island cotton). RNAcentral's name for it is "long non-coding RNA (GBAR_LNC003684)". Lineage: Eukaryota; Viridiplantae; Streptophyta; Magnoliopsida; Malvales; Malvaceae. The record is from RNAcentral.
UGCUAUCAAAACAACAAAAUGUUGUGACCAAAAUGGCAAUCAUAUGCAUUCUAGUAAAACCAAUAAGAAAUACUCUCACUUCUUUAAGAGAGAAAUUGGGGUCAUCUAUCGUGAAUCCUAUAAUGACUUCUUAAAGAAGCAACAGAUUUACCUUCGAAAGAAUGCAAUCAUUAAAUUCGAUUAACUAGGGGAAGAAGAAGAUCAAGAGAAACAAAAUUCAAAGAAGUAGGAUCCUGGUGAAAAGAAUAUGCAGUAACAUGUUAUAGCAUCAUAAAAUUGGAGAAGUGAAUAAGUUGUUGAGUACAGCAUACUAGGAUCAGACAGGUUAAGAAUGAAGGGUAGAAUUGAACUUAGUGACAGUAUAUUAUUCGCCAAAAUCUGGCUUCUCGUCCCAAAUUUCUGAUCACUUCCAGAAGAAAAAAUACCCCAAUUAUGCCUCACAACAAGAACAAGUUUAGCUUCCACCUCAAUCAGUAGGCCCUAACCAGAAGUAUAUUAUGACUUCAGAAACAACCAUGCCAAACUUCUACAAGGUCUAUUUUAUAUAUUUUUCCAAGAAUAAUCUAGGAACUUAGUCAUACCAUCCUCAAAUUCGACGUACUUCCUUACUAAAUAAUACCUACCAUAAACCAAUCUUCCAUCACUUGGCAAAAUAGUCACGAUUUCAACAGAAAGCGCCAUAGAAUGUCACCAGCAUCCGUAACUAAAACCAUCAACCUAGAGUAGUAAAUUACAACCAUGACGCCCACCUAACUAGCAAUUCCAAAUGCAUGCACCAUACAUUCCACCUCCAGAAAAUUAGAACUUUUCACAAAGAUACAAGAAUUAAAGAACACUAGUGAAACUAAGAAAACCUUUACGAAGAGAAGAAUCUUUAACAAAAUGUGAAUUGAGAUUUGCUGCUAUGAUCCCACACCUGGUGAAAUCUGCAAACAAAAGCUAACACAAAGAUGCAAACAGAGAAAAAAUACCUCAUAUUCGUCUGCUGAGUAGAUUAAAGGCAGACUAGGAGGUCCAGCAGCUAUAAAACCGAACAAACAAACACAAAAUAUUAAGCACAACCACCGUCAGCUUAACAUUAAGCUUAAAUGUGAAAACAUGGUCCCAUCAGAGUUUAGUUCACAAAUGACUUACAGUAAAACAGAGGACAACUUGACUCGUAAAAACAACACCUGAAACUGAAACUUUUAUUGAACAAAACAAACGACACACUGACACAAACAACCUGACUAACAAUGUAAAAGCUUGAACCUUAAUCAGAAGACGAAAGCUAAAGGAUUUUCGGAAAAUUACUCGAAUU